This 433-nucleotide ribosomal RNA is filed under the name uncultured bacterium. RNAcentral describes it as "partial 16S ribosomal RNA". It matches the Rfam family "Bacterial small subunit ribosomal RNA", at positions 29 to 507 of the family's 1533-position model. The record is from RNAcentral.
AACGAACGCUGGCGGCAGGCCUAACACAUGCAAGUCGAGCGAGGACUUCGGUUCUAGCGGCGGACGGGUGAGUAACGCGUGGGAAUGUGCCCUUCUCUACGGAAUAGCCCUGGGAAACUGGGAGUAAUACCGUAUACGCCCUAUUGGGGAAAGAUUUAUCGGAGAAGGAUCAGCCCGCGUUGGAUUAGGUAGUUGGUGGGGUAAUGGCCUACCAAGCCGACGAUCCAUAGCUGGUUUGAGAGGAUGAUCAGCCACACUGGGACUGAGACACGGCCCAGACUCCUACGGGAGGCAGCAGUGGGGAAUCUUAGACAAUGGGGGCAACCCUGAUCUAGCCAUGCCGCGUGAGUGAUGAAGGCCUUAGGGUUGUAAAGCUCUUUCAGCUGGGAAGAUAAUGACGGUACCAGUAGAAGAAGCCCCGGCUAACUCCGUG